CGCCAGGGGACUACGAGCAUAGCUUAAAACCCAAAGGACUUGGCGGUGUCUCAGACCCACCUAGAGGAGCCUGUUCUAGAACCGAUAACCCCCGUUAAACCUCACCACUUCUUGUUAAUCCCGCCUAUAUACCGCCGUCGCCAGCUUACCCUAUGAAGGCAACACAGUAAGCAAAAUGGACAAAACCCAAAACGUCAGGUCGAGGUGUAGCGCACGAAAUGGGAAGAAAUGGGCUACAUUUUCUAUUACAGAAAAUCACGAAUGGUUUACUGAAACACAUACAUGAAGGAGGAUUUAGUAGUAAAAAGCAAAUAGAGAGUCCUUUUGAACAAGGCUCUGAGACACGC
Molecule: ribosomal RNA, 347 nt
Filed under: Hoplisoma cf. sipaliwini MA225
Lineage: Eukaryota; Metazoa; Chordata; Actinopteri; Siluriformes; Callichthyidae
Description: partial 12S ribosomal RNA
Rfam family: Bacterial small subunit ribosomal RNA
Source: RNAcentral